GAGUGGGUCGGGCAAUCGCGUGCUUAGCAUGAGGAAAGUCCGGGCUUCAAAAGGCAAGAUGCCAGCUAACAGCUGGGCGGGGCGACCCGACGGAUUAGUGCCACAGAAAAGAAAACUCCCCCGCUGCCCUCACGGGUGAACUGGAAUGAUUGUCUGUAAGACAAGAACGUUUAUCUAAGGAUAAACUUCUUUGCAUAUUGCUACGCAAAGAAGAUCCUUACAAAAUAGGAAUUUCAGUCGCUCAUGAAGGCAGCGGGAGAAAAGCUGAAACGGUGCGGUAAAAGCGCACCAGUACAUUGGCAACAAUGUAGCUUGGUAAACCCCAUCUGAAGCAAGCGCAAAUAGGAACGCUAUACGGCUGCCUUUCCGUGCGUUCGGGUUGCGUGCUUGAGUUGUGCGGUGACGCACAAUCGAGAUAAAUGGUUGCCAAUUACAGAACCCGGCUUAUAGACCCACUCC
This 459-nucleotide RNase P RNA is filed under the name human gut metagenome. RNAcentral describes it as "Bacterial RNase P class A". It matches the Rfam family "Bacterial RNase P class A". From Rfam's summary of the family: Ribonuclease P (RNase P) is a ubiquitous endoribonuclease, found in archaea, bacteria and eukarya as well as chloroplasts and mitochondria. The record is from RNAcentral.